Molecule: ribosomal RNA, 797 nt
Filed under: uncultured bacterium
Lineage: Bacteria
Description: bacterial SSU rRNA
Rfam family: Bacterial small subunit ribosomal RNA
Source: RNAcentral
AGAGUUUGAUCAUGGCUCAGGAUGAACGCUAGCGGCAGGCUUAAUACAUGCAAGUCGAGGGGCAGCAUGACUGUAGCAAUACAGUUGAUGGCGACCGGCAAACGGGUGCGGAACACGUACACAACCUUCCUUUAAGUGGGGAAUAGCCCAGAGAAAUUUGGAUUAAUACCCCGUAAUAUUAUGAUGUGGCAUCACAUUAUAAUUAUAGCUCAGGCGCUUAAUGAUGGGUGUGCGGCUGAUUAGAUAGUUGGCGGGGUAACGGCCCACCAAGUCUGCGAUCAGUAACUGGUGUGAGAGCACGACCAGUCACACGGGCACUGAGACACGGGCCCGACUCCUACGGGAGGCAGCAGUAAGGAAUAUUGGUCAAUGGACGCAAGUCUGAACCAGCCAUGCCGCGUGGAGGAUGAAGGCCCUCUGGGUUGUAAACUUCUUUUAUCUGGGACGAAAAAGGGCCUUUCUAGGUCAACUGACGGUACCAGAGGAAUAAGCACCGGCUAACUCCGUGCCAGCAGCCGCGGUAAUACGGAGGGUGCAAGCGUUAUCCGGAUUCACUGGGUUUAAAGGGUGCGUAGGUGGGUUGAUAAGUCAGUGGUGAAAUCUCCGAGCUUAACUUGGAAACUGCCAUUGAUACUAUUAGUCUUGAAUAUUGUGGAGGUCAGCGGAAUAUGUCAUGUAGCGGUGAAAUGCUUAGAUAUGACAUAGAACACCAAUUGCGAAGGCAGCUGGCUACGCAUAUAUUGACACUGAGGCACGAAAGCGUGGGGAUCAAACAGGAUUAGAUACCCUAGUAGUCC